Molecule: ribosomal RNA, 301 nt
Filed under: uncultured bacterium
Lineage: Bacteria
Description: partial 16S ribosomal RNA
Rfam family: Bacterial small subunit ribosomal RNA
Source: RNAcentral
CAGCAGCCACGGUAAUGCGUAGGUGGCAAGCGUUGUCCGGAAUUAUUGGGCGUAAAGGGCUCGCAGGCGGUUUCUUAAGUCCGAUGUGAAAGUCCCCGGCUCAACCGGGGAGGGUCAUUGGAAACUGGGAAACUUGAGUGCAGAAGAGGAGAGUGGAAUUCCACGUGUAGCGGUGAAAUGCGCAGAGAUGUGGAUGAACACCAGUGGCGAAGGCGACUCUCUGGUCUGUAACUGACGCUGAGGAGCGAAAGCGUGGGGAGCAGACAGGAUUAGAUACCCCCGUAGUCCCUGUCUCUUAUAC